AGCUUUGAUCAGAGACAUCAGCUGGUAUUUUUUUUUUCCCUUGAAAGUUUUGUAGAUAAAUAAUUUGUCUAUUUAAUUUAAAGAAACUUUCUAAUGCUAUUUAGUUGAAUAACAUAAAAUUGGACAAUUGCAAUUUGGUCAUUAUCAAAAUUGAUGUUAUAUUGGACCAUAGAUUUUUUUAGUAUUCUCACUUAAACUUGCAAUUGGAUUCAGUGCUCCGGUCAUUUUCUGGGACUGCUACAGGCAAAUCAAUGGUCUUAUGGAGUUCUUUUUUUUUUUAAAUGCUCUCAACUUUCAUGAGCUGAACUUGCUGGCUUUGUAGUUUCUACUAAGUUGUUUGAGAUUCUUUGAGGAUAUACUUAAGCAAUUUAUCUGAAGCUCUAUGUUUUGAUUUCUGAAAUUAAAGGAUGACCAAUUUUUUACAUUCCUUUUGAUUUCAUCAUAUCUGCUUGUCAUCAUUGCUGGCUGGUUUACUUUGACUUGAGUUGCUUUCUUUCUUGCAGCCGCCAAGCUCUUGGUUUGCCAU
RNAcentral lists this unclassified non-coding RNA (526 nucleotides) under Hevea brasiliensis (rubber tree). The record is from RNAcentral. Lineage: Eukaryota; Viridiplantae; Streptophyta; Magnoliopsida; Malpighiales; Euphorbiaceae.